CAAAUAAAAUUGAGAAUGGAAAUGGGGAAUGUAUCAAAGAGACAACAACCCGACCAUAGAAAAAACAACAGCAGAAGGUCACCAACAGGUCUUCAAUGUAACGAGAAAUUCCCGCACCCGGAGGCGUCCUUCAGCUGGCCCCUAAACAAAUAUAUACUAGUUCAGUGAUAAUGAACGCCAUACUAAUUUCCAAAUUGUACACAAGAAACUAAAAUUAAAAUAAUACAAGAC
This 231-nucleotide long non-coding RNA is filed under the name Mytilus galloprovincialis (Mediterranean mussel). Lineage: Eukaryota; Metazoa; Mollusca; Bivalvia; Mytilida; Mytilidae. The record is from RNAcentral.